RNAcentral lists this ribosomal RNA (248 nucleotides) under uncultured bacterium. RNAcentral's name for it is "partial 16S ribosomal RNA". It matches the Rfam family "Bacterial small subunit ribosomal RNA", at positions 107 to 353 of the family's 1533-position model. The record is from RNAcentral.
UGAGUAACGCGUGGGUAACCUGCCUCAUACAGGGGGAUAACAGUUAGAAAUGACUGCUAAUACCGCAUAAGCGCACAGUGCUGCAUGGCACAGUGUGAAAAACUCCGGUGGUAUGAGAUGGACCCGCGUCUGAUUAGCUAGUUGGUGGGGUAACGGCCUACCAAGGCGACGAUCAGUAGCCGGCCUGAGAGGGUGAACGGCCACAUUGGGACUGAGACACGGUCCAAACUCCUACGGGAGGCAGCAUG